RNAcentral lists this ribosomal RNA (416 nucleotides) under uncultured Thiobacillus sp. RNAcentral's name for it is "bacterial SSU rRNA". It matches the Rfam family "Bacterial small subunit ribosomal RNA", at positions 962 to 1382 of the family's 1533-position model. The record is from RNAcentral. Lineage: Bacteria; Pseudomonadati; Pseudomonadota; Betaproteobacteria; Nitrosomonadales; Thiobacillaceae.
CGAAGAACCUUACGUACCCUUGACAUGUCCGGAACUUGCCAGAGAUGGCUUGGGUGCCCGAAAGGGAAUCGGAACACAGGUGCUGCAUGGCUGUCGUCAGCUCGUGUCGUGAGAUGUUGGGUUAAGUCCCGCAACGAGCGCAACCCUUAUCAUUAGUUGCUACGCAAGGGCACUCUAAUGAGACUGCCGGUGACAAACCGGAGGAAGUGGGGAUGACGUCAAGUCCUCAUGGCCCUUAUGGGUAGGGCUUCACACGUCAUACAAUGGUCGGUACAGAGGGUUGCCAAGCCGCGAGGCGGAGCCAAUCCCACAAAGCCGAUCGUAGUCCGGAUUGUUCUCUGCAACUCGAGAGCAUGAAGUCGGAAUCGCUAGUAAUCGCAGGUCAGCAUACUGCGGUGAAUACGUUCCCGGGUCUU